RNAcentral lists this ribosomal RNA (499 nucleotides) under uncultured bacterium. Its description in RNAcentral is "partial 16S ribosomal RNA". It matches the Rfam family "Bacterial small subunit ribosomal RNA", at positions 29 to 523 of the family's 1533-position model. The record is from RNAcentral.
AAUAAACGCUGGCGGCGCGCUUAACACAUGCAAGUCGAACGAGAACGUUCCUUCGGGAACUAGUAGAGUGGCGGACGGGUGAGGAAUACAUCGGAAUCUAAUCUGUCGUGGGGGAUAACGUAGGGAAACUUACGCUAAUACCGCAUACGCACUACGGGGGAAAGCAGGGGAUCUUCGGACCUUGCGCGAUUGAAUGAGCUGAUGUCGGGUUAGAUAGUUGGCGGGGUAAAGGCCCACCAAGGCGACGAUCCGUAGCUGGUCUGAGAGGAUGAUCAGCCACACUGGAACUGAGACACGGUCCAGAAUCCUACGGGAGGCAGCAGUGGGGAAUAUUGGACAAUGGGCGCAAGCCUGAUCCAGCCAUACCGCGUGGGUGAAGAAGGCCUUCGGGUUGUAAAGCCCUUUUGUUGGGAAAGAAAUCCAUCUGGUUAAUACCCGGAUGGGAUGACGAUACCCAAAGAAUAAGCACCGGCUAACUUCGUGCCAGCCGCCGCCGUAA